RNAcentral lists this ribosomal RNA (497 nucleotides) under uncultured bacterium. RNAcentral's name for it is "partial 16S ribosomal RNA". It matches the Rfam family "Bacterial small subunit ribosomal RNA", at positions 28 to 507 of the family's 1533-position model. The record is from RNAcentral.
GAUGAACGCUGGCGGCGUGCCUAAUACAUGCAAGUCGAGCGAACAGACGAGGAGCUUGCUCCUCUGACGUUAGCGGCGGACGGGUGAGUAACACGUGGAUAACCUACCUAUAAGACUGGGAUAACUUCGGGAAACCGGAGCUAAUACCGGAUAAUAUAUUGAACCGCAUGGUUCAAUAGUGAAAGACGGUUUUGCUGUCACUUAUAGAUGGAUCCGCGCCGCAUUAGCUAGUUGGUAAGGUAACGGCUUACCAAGGCAACGAUGCGUAGCCGACCUGAGAGGGUGAUCCGGCACACUGGAACUGAGACACGGUCCAGACUCCUACGGGAGGCAGCAGUAGGGAAUCUUCCGCAAUGGGCGAAAGCCUGACGGAGCAACGCCGCGUGAGUGAUGAAGGUCUUCGGAUCGUAAAACUCUGUUAUUAGGGAAGAACAAAUGUGUAAGUAACUAUGCACGUCUUGACGGUACCUAAUCAGAAAGCCACGGCUAACUACGUG